GACGAACCGUGCGAACGUUGUUCGGAUUCACUGGGCUUAAAGGGCGCGUAGGCGGGCUCGCAAGUCAGGGGUGAAAUCCUCCGGCUCAACCGGAGAACUGCCUUUGAUACUGCGGGCCUAGAGGGAGGUAGGGGUCGACGAAACUUCCGGUGGAGCGGUGAAAUGCGUAGAUAUCGGAAGGAACGCCGGUGGCGAAAGCGGUCGACUGGACCUCUUCUGACGCUGAGGCGCGAAAGCCAGGGGAGCAAACGGG
Molecule: ribosomal RNA, 253 nt
Filed under: uncultured bacterium
Lineage: Bacteria
Description: partial 16S ribosomal RNA
Rfam family: Bacterial small subunit ribosomal RNA
Source: RNAcentral